Molecule: unclassified non-coding RNA, 253 nt
Filed under: uncultured Elusimicrobia bacterium
Lineage: Bacteria; Pseudomonadati; Elusimicrobiota; Elusimicrobia
Description: contains 16S-23S intergenic spacer region
Rfam family: Bacterial small subunit ribosomal RNA
Source: RNAcentral
UACGAAGGUGGCGAGCGUUACUCGGAAUGACUAGGCGUAAAGGGCAGGUAGGUGGUCUGGAAAGUCUGUUGUGAAAGCUCCUGGCUUAACUGGGAGAGGCCAACAGAUACUUCUAGGCUUGAGUAUGGGAGAGGGUACUGGAAUUCCCGGUGUAGCGGUGAAAUGCGCAGAGAUCGGGAGGAACACCAAUGGCGAAAGCAGGUACCUGGACCAUUACUGACACUCAGCUGCGAAAGCUAGGGGAGCAAACAGG